RNAcentral lists this non-coding RNA (30 nucleotides) under Mus musculus (house mouse). The record is from RNAcentral. Lineage: Eukaryota; Metazoa; Chordata; Mammalia; Rodentia; Muridae.
UAAGCAUGAGCAAGUGACCUUGAGACAUAA